ACGAACGCUGGCGGCAGGCUUAACACAUGCAAGUCGAACGAUGUAGCAAUACAUAGUGGCGCACGGGUGAGUAACGCGUGGGAAUGUACCUUUUAGUUCGGAAUAACUGCGGGAAACUGCAGCUAAUACCGUAUACGCCCUCAGGGGGAAAGAUUUAUCGCUAAAAGAUCAGCCCGCGUUAGAUUAGCUAGUUGGUAAGGUAAUGGCUUACCAAGGCUCCGAUCUAUAGCUGGUCUGAGAGGACGACCAGCCACACUGGAACUGAGACACGGUCCAGACUCCUACGGGAGGCAGCAGUGGGGAAUAUUGGACAAUGGGGGAAACCCUGAUCCAGCCAUGCCGCGUGAGUGAUGAAGGCCUUAGGGUUGUAAAGCUCUUUUACCAGGGAAGAUAAUGACGGUACCUGGAGAAUAAGCACCGGCUAACUUCGU
RNAcentral lists this ribosomal RNA (431 nucleotides) under uncultured bacterium. RNAcentral's name for it is "bacterial SSU rRNA". It matches the Rfam family "Bacterial small subunit ribosomal RNA", at positions 29 to 506 of the family's 1533-position model. The record is from RNAcentral.